GCAAGAAGCCUUACAAGUAGAUGUGAGUCAAGGUCUCCAGUUUAGAACUUUGCCUUCAUCUCAGAGCCCAAACAAGAGAAAAACAUUAUAGAUGUGAUGUGUAUGGAGAUCCUCAGGAAGGGCUGAUGUUUUCAUAGCUACUGGUCUGCCUAGGAAGGGAAAAUCUGCAAGUUUGGUAAAUAGGGAAAGCACUUCAGUCACAAACUUCAGUCUUCAAGAGUCUGUUGCACAGUUGAAUACUCCUUAAGGCAAUGACCUGGCCAGCGGCUUCAGUGAAAAUGGUCACCUUCAUCAGAGCUGGCCUAGGAGGGAGGUUUUACAAAUGAUGACAGUAAAGAGAAUGUAUCCUAGGAGCAGAUUAUACACAGUACUUGUGGCGGGGGAAAUACCUGUAAACAGAGCAAAUGUAAGAAAAACAUUGUCCUCUUACUCAAACCAAUAAUGUCC
Molecule: long non-coding RNA, 447 nt
Filed under: Bos taurus (domestic cattle)
Lineage: Eukaryota; Metazoa; Chordata; Mammalia; Artiodactyla; Bovidae
Description: long non-coding RNA NONBTAT009459
Source: RNAcentral